GAGGCUAUAGCUCAAAGUGGUAGAGCGCAUGCUUAGCAUUCACGAGGUCCUGGGUUCAAUCCCCAGUGUCACCU
Molecule: transfer RNA, 74 nt
Filed under: Camelus bactrianus (Bactrian camel)
Lineage: Eukaryota; Metazoa; Chordata; Mammalia; Artiodactyla; Camelidae
Also listed under: 1 other name
Rfam family: tRNA
About the family: Transfer RNA (tRNA) molecules are approximately 80 nucleotides in length. Their secondary structure includes four short double-helical elements and three loops (D, anti-codon, and T loops).
Source: Rfam by way of RNAcentral